AUCCUUGAGUUCGUGAGCACGGAUUGGGUGUUCAUGCCGCGUGCAGGAGGUGUGCCUUUCCCAACCUUGUGAUGACAUCAGCACAUUACUCAGUCUGGAG
Molecule: small nucleolar RNA, 100 nt
Organism: Cavia porcellus (domestic guinea pig)
Lineage: Eukaryota; Metazoa; Chordata; Mammalia; Rodentia; Caviidae
Rfam family: Small nucleolar RNA U13
Source: Rfam